AGAGUUUGAUCAUGGCUCAGAACGAACGCUGGCGGCAGGCUUAACACAUGCAAGUCGAACGCCCCGCAAGGGGAGUGGCAGACGGGUGAGUAACGCGUGAGAAUCUACCCAGAUCUUCGGAACAACCCAGGGAAACUUGGGCUAAUACCGGAUACGCCCUACGGGGGAAAGAUUUAUCGGUUCUGGAUGAGCCCGCGUUGGAUUAGCUAGUUGGUGAGGUAAAAGCUCACCAAGGCGACGAUCCAUAGCUGGUCUGAGAGGAUGAUCAGCCACACUGGGACUGAGACACGGCCCAGACUCCUACGGGAGGCAGCAGUGGGGAAUAUUGGACAAUGGGCGAAAGCCUGAUCCAGCCAUGCCGCGUGAGUGAUGGAGGCCUUAGGGUUGUAAAGCUCUUUUAGUGGGGAAGAUAAUGACGGUACCCACAGAAAAGCCC
This 436-nucleotide ribosomal RNA is filed under the name uncultured Agrobacterium sp. RNAcentral describes it as "bacterial SSU rRNA". It matches the Rfam family "Bacterial small subunit ribosomal RNA", at positions 8 to 493 of the family's 1533-position model. Lineage: Bacteria; Pseudomonadati; Pseudomonadota; Alphaproteobacteria; Hyphomicrobiales; Rhizobiaceae. The record is from RNAcentral.